RNAcentral lists this ribosomal RNA (448 nucleotides) under uncultured bacterium. RNAcentral's name for it is "bacterial SSU rRNA". It matches the Rfam family "Bacterial small subunit ribosomal RNA", at positions 330 to 794 of the family's 1533-position model. The record is from RNAcentral.
UCCAGACUCCUACGGGAGGCAGCAGUGGGGGAUAUUGCACAAUGGGGGGAACCCUGAUGCAGCGACGCCGCGUGGGUGAAGGAGCGUUUCGGCGCGUAAAGCCCUCUCGGCAGGGAAGAAGGAGGACGGUACCUGACUAAGAAGCCCCGGCUAACUACGUGCCAGCAGCCGCGGUAAUACGUAGGGGGCAAGCGUUAUCCGGAUUUACUGGGUGUAAAGGGGGCGCAGACGGCAGCGCAAGCCAGGAGUGAAAGCCCGGGGCCCAACCCCGGGACUGCUCUUGGAACUGCGCGGCUGGAGUGCAGGAGGGGCAGGCGGAAUUCCUGGUGUAGCGGUGAAAUGCGUAGAUAUCAGGAGGAACACCGGUGGCGAAGGCGGCCUGCUGGACUGCGACUGACGUUGAGGCCCGAAAGCGUGGGGAGCAAACAGGAUUAGAUACCCCAGUACC